CUCCGCCCCGCCAGCCGUGAGCCUCCACCCCACGCCGCAUAUCUCGCGGGCAGCGGGCUCACCGGCCACCGCCUUCGAAUCUGGGAAAACCAUCCUAGCAAGCGGAAGCAGGCUGUGCUCAUCCUUUUCUACGCUAUAUUAGCGUUCAGUACAGCUUCAUUGUUCUCGCUUUGGUCGGGAUCAAGACAUCCAAGUCAUUGGAUGUUGUUCCUUGAUGGGCUCUUGUUCACGGCGACCCUGGUCGUUACCGCUAUGAUUCAGUUUAUCAUCCCUACUGAGCGGUGCCUCAGACUUGCCACUGCAGCCCUCGGCAUCGGCAUGCUGAUGAUGGGCUAUGCCUUCAUGGCGAGUCUUUACCAGGCACCGGCACCCACUCCGCCCCCAGCCCCGGCUGUCCUCCAUGGCUAGCUGUUGAUUUGUUUUUCUCAUUUUCAGUAUUACUACUAUCAGACUCCGUGCAGGUUUAAUGUCUGUUUUCUGUUAUUGUGGUUGUUGACGCGCUACGUACUUUGUUUGGUUGGAAAUCAUCAUUACUACAUUCCCAAGUUUUAUGUUUGUUUUAUAUAUGUUGGCGUGCACGGUUAAUUGGCUA
This is a long non-coding RNA of Asparagus officinalis (garden asparagus), 592 nucleotides long. RefSeq lists it as uncharacterized. The transcript has 2 exons. The record is from RefSeq and is a predicted model, not a curated record. NCBI's taxonomy places the organism in Eukaryota, Viridiplantae, Streptophyta, Magnoliopsida, Asparagales, Asparagaceae.